Alnus glutinosa is the source of this 213-nucleotide long non-coding RNA. RefSeq lists it as uncharacterized. The record is from RefSeq and is a predicted model, not a curated record. The transcript has 3 exons. Lineage: Eukaryota; Viridiplantae; Streptophyta; Magnoliopsida; Fagales; Betulaceae.
GGAGAAUUCCGUCUGAAAUUCCUCCCGCUCUCUCUCUCUCUCUCUCUCUCUUAGGAUCGAUCAUACACCCUGGAAAUGGACUCCAAUGCGUGGACCGCUCGCCUCUCCAUUGCUUCGCGGGACUACCAGAGUCGAUCAGAUCUGUACCUAUGAGGGGGCCACAAGGAAAUUGACGGGGACGAGGAGCAUCCUGUGGAGGCGAAGAAUGGGGUA